Molecule: ribosomal RNA, 253 nt
Filed under: uncultured bacterium
Lineage: Bacteria
Description: partial 16S ribosomal RNA
Rfam family: Bacterial small subunit ribosomal RNA
Source: RNAcentral
CACGUAGGGCGCAAGCGUUGUCCGGAAUUAUUGGGCGUAAAGAGCUCGUAGGCGGUCUGUUGCGUCCGCUGUGAAAACUCGGGGCUUAACCCCGAGCCUGCAGUGGAUACGGGCAGACUAGAGGUAGGUAGGGGAGAAUGGAAUUCCUGGUGUAGCGGUGAAAUGCGCAGAUAUCAGGAAGAACACCCGUGGCGAAGGCGGUUCUCUGGGACGGUACUGACGCUGAGACGCGAAAGCGUGGGGAGCGAACAGG